UUUAGUGACGAUACCCACAAACAUCAUUUUUUUUAAAAAAUAAAUAAAUAAAAAGAACAACAAACUUUAAAUAAAACAUAAAAAUAGCCUCAAAGAUUGCAUAAAUUAUAUAGCUCAAAGAAAAUUUCAAAUAUUGGCAAAGUUCUAAUUUUAAUUCAUUAGUCAAUCCCAUCUCUCUUUUGAUAGUUUUGAAUGACCAAGUCUAUAUUGGCAAACUCUUGAUGGUUUUGAACGACAAGUCUAUAUAUAACCCCCUGGCCAAACAAGAAACCCCGCAAAGCGUACGAGAAAUUCAAGAAACUUAAAAUGGAUUCUAUAGUUGAUGGAGAAAGAGACCAAAGCUUUGCAUAUGCUAAUCAAUUGGCGAUGGGUACAAUGCUACCCAUGGCCAUUCAAGG
RNAcentral lists this long non-coding RNA (398 nucleotides) under Citrus sinensis (sweet orange). RNAcentral's name for it is "long non-coding RNA (CSIN_LNC005132)". Lineage: Eukaryota; Viridiplantae; Streptophyta; Magnoliopsida; Sapindales; Rutaceae. The record is from RNAcentral.